AGACCCGAAACCCGGUGAUCUAGCCAUGGGCAGGUUGAAGGUUGGGUAACACUAACUGGAGGACCGAACCGACUAAUGUUGAAAAAUUAGCGGAUGACCUGUGGCUGGGGGUGAAAGGCCAAUCAAACCGGGAGAUAGCUGGUUCUCCCCGAAAGCUAUUUAGGUAGCGCCUCGUGAAUUCAUCUCCGGGGGUAGAGCACUGUUUCGGCUAGGGGGCCAUCCCGGCUUACCAACCCGAUGCAAACUGCGAAUACCGGAGAAUGUUAUCACGGGAGACACACGGCGGGUGCUAACGUCCGUCGUGAAGAGGGAAACAACCCAGACCGCCAGCUAAGGUCCCAAAGUCAUGGUUAAGUGGGAAACGAUGUGGGAAGGCCCAGACAGCCAGGAUGUUGGCUUAGAAGCAGCCAUCAUUUAAAGAAAGCGUAAUAGCUCACUGGUCGAGUCGGCCUGCGCGGAAGAUGUAACGGGGCUAAACCAUGCACCGAAGCUGCGGCAGCGACACUGUGUGUUGUUGGGUAGGGGAGCGUUCUGUAAGCCUGUGAAGGUGUGUCGUGAGGCAUGCUGGAGGUAUCAGAAGUGCGAAUGCUGACAUAAGUAACGAUAAAGCGGGUGAAAAGCCCGCUCGCCGGAAGACCAAGGGUUCCUGUCCAACGUUAAUCGGGGCAGGGUGAGUCGACCCCUAAGGCGAGGCCGAAAGGCGUAGUCGAUGGGAAACGGGUUAAUAUUCCCGUACUUGGUGUUACUGCGAAGGGGGGACGGAGAAGGCUAUGUUGGCCGGGCGACGGUUGUCCCGGUUUAAGCGUGUAGGUGUGUGUUCCAGGUAAAUCCGGUUCACUU
This 840-nucleotide ribosomal RNA is filed under the name Salmonella enterica subsp. enterica serovar Stanley. RNAcentral's name for it is "partial 23S ribosomal RNA". It matches the Rfam family "Bacterial large subunit ribosomal RNA", at positions 711 to 1552 of the family's 2925-position model. Lineage: Bacteria; Pseudomonadati; Pseudomonadota; Gammaproteobacteria; Enterobacterales; Enterobacteriaceae. The record is from RNAcentral.